CAGCAGCCGCGGUAAUACGUAGGUGGCAAGCGUUGUCCGGAAUUAUUGGGCGUAAAGGGCUCGCAGGCGGUUUCUUAAGUCUGAUGUGAAAGCCCCCGGCUCAACCGGGGAGGGUCAUUGGAAACUGGGAAACUUGAGUGCAGAAGAGGAGAGUGGAAUUCCACGUGUAGCGGUGAAACGCGUAGAGAUGUGGAGGAACACCAGUGGCGAAGGCGACUCUCUGGUCUGUAACUGACGCUGAGGAGCGAAAGCGUGGGGAGCGAACAGGAUUAGAUACCCCCGUAGUCCCUGUCUCUUAUAC
This 301-nucleotide ribosomal RNA is filed under the name uncultured bacterium. Its description in RNAcentral is "partial 16S ribosomal RNA". It matches the Rfam family "Bacterial small subunit ribosomal RNA", at positions 509 to 807 of the family's 1533-position model. The record is from RNAcentral.